This 296-nucleotide transfer-messenger RNA is filed under the name Rickettsiales bacterium. It matches the Rfam family "Alphaproteobacteria transfer-messenger RNA". From Rfam's summary of the family: Bacterial tmRNA, also known as 10Sa RNA or SsrA, is named for its dual tRNA and mRNA-like properties. Its role is to liberate the mRNA from a stalled ribosome. To accomplish this part of the tmRNA is used as a reading frame that ends in a translation stop signal. Lineage: Bacteria; Pseudomonadati; Pseudomonadota; Alphaproteobacteria; Rickettsiales. The record is from RNAcentral.
AUGGUUGACAUCUCGGCAAUAUGGUGCUAUAAAUAUAGAGUAAUUGUUGACGUCAUUGUAUGUCACAAGAGCAGGACCCGGGUGCAAUUCCCGGCUACUCCACCAAUUCAAUACACCCCCUACGGGGUAGAAUUAGGAUCGACUGGCUUGUUAAGAAUGAAAGAGAUUACCGGGUGGGAACUCCGUUAACGUAACAAAACUAUAAAUGCAAACGAUAAUUUUGCAUCUGAGGAUUAUGCACUAGCGGCAUAAUUUGACGGGGUUGGCAACUUACCUGGCAACAGAAAAGUUGCACC